AGAGUUUGAUCCUGGCUCAGGAUGAACGCUGGCGGCGUGCUUAACACAUGCAAGUCGAACGGAUGCUUUGAGCAAUCGGAGCAUUAGUGGCAAACGGGUGAGUAACACGUGGGUGACCUACCUCAGAGUGGGGUACAACAGACCGAAAGGUUUGCUAAUACCGCAUCGUCUCGAUCCUUCAGUGGGUCGAGUAAAGCCGUAAGGCGCUUUGAGAGGGGCCCGCGUCCCAUCAGGUAGUUGGUGAGGUAAUGGCCCACCAAGCCGAUGACGGGUAGCUGUUCUGAGAGGAAGAUCAGCCACAAUGGAACUGAGAUACGGUCCAUACUCCUACGGGAGGCAGCAGUGAGGAAUAUUGCACAAUGGACGCAAGUCUGAUGCAGCGACGCCGCGUGGGUGACGAAGGCCUUCGGGUCGUAAAACCCUUUUUGGCAGGGACGAGUGAGGACGGUACCUGCAGAAUAAGUCUCGGCUAACUACGUGCCAGCAGCCGCGGUAAAACGUAGGAGGCGAGCGUUAUCCGGAUUUACUGGGCGUAAAGCGUGCGUAGGCGGCUGGUCAAGUCAGAUGUUAAAGCCCCUGGCUCAACUGGGGGAGGUCAUUUGAUACUGAUCGGCUUGAGGGUGAGAGAGGAGAGCGGAAUUCCCGGUGUAGCGGUGGAAUGCGUAGAGAUCGGGAGGAACACCAGUGGCGAAAGCGGCUCUCUGGCUCACAUCUGACGCUGAGUGCACGAAAGCGUGGGUAGCAAACGGGAUUAGAUACCCCGGUAGUCCACGCCCUAAACGAUGAGAGCUGGGUGUCGGCAGGGUUUCCUGUCGGUGCCGAAGCUAACGCGUUAAGCUCUCCGCCUGGGGACUACGAACGCAAGUUUAAAACUCAAAGGAAUAGACGGGGGCCCGCACAAGCAGCGGAGCGUGUGGUUCAAUUCGAUCAACACGAAGAACCUUACCAGGGUUUGACAUGUAUGUGGUAGGAAACUGAAAGGGGCCCGACCCGCAAGGGAGCAUGCACAGGUGCUGCAUGGCUGUCGUCAGCUCGUGCCGUGAGGUGUUGGGUUAAGUCCCGCAACGAGCGCAACCCCUUUCGCUAGUUACAAGUGUCUAGCGAUACUGCCGGAUUAACUCCGGAGGAAGGCGGGGAUGACGUCAAGUCAGCAUGGCCUUUAUAUCCUGGGCUACACACACGCUACAAUAGGUACUACAGAGCGUUGCCAAGCCGCGAGGCGGAGCUAAUCGCACAAAAGUAUCCUCAGUUCAGAUUGCAGGCUGCAACUCGCCUGCAUGAAGUCGGAGUUGCUAGUAAACGCGCGUCAGCUAUAGUGCGUUGAAUGCGUUCCCGGGCCUUGUACUCACCGCCCGUCACGUCAUGGAAGUUGGUAACACCUGAAGUCGGUGACCGAACCGCAAGGACGGAGCCGCCGAGGGUGGGACUGAUAACUGGGACGAAGUCGUAACAAGGUA
This 1457-nucleotide ribosomal RNA is filed under the name metagenome. RNAcentral's name for it is "bacterial SSU rRNA". It matches the Rfam family "Bacterial small subunit ribosomal RNA". The record is from RNAcentral.